This 450-nucleotide ribosomal RNA is filed under the name uncultured bacterium. RNAcentral's name for it is "partial 16S ribosomal RNA". It matches the Rfam family "Bacterial small subunit ribosomal RNA", at positions 338 to 795 of the family's 1533-position model. The record is from RNAcentral.
CCUACGGGCGGCUGCAGUAAGGAAUAUUGGUCAAUGGACGCAAGUCUGAACCAGCCAUGCCGCGUGGAGGAUGAAGGUCCUCUGGAUUGUAAACUUCUUUUAUUUGGGAAGAAACUCCCGAUUUCCAUCGGGAUUGACGGUACCAGAUGAAUAAGCACCGGCUAACUCCGUGCCAGCAGGCGCGGUAAUACGGAGGGUGCAGGCGUUACCGGGAUUAAAGGGUGUGAAGGUGUGCAGGGAAGGGCGUGUUGAAAUCUCCGGGCUUAACCCGGAAACUGACAUUGAUACUAUUUGUCUUGAAUACUCUGGAGGUGAGCGGAAUAUGUCAUGUAGCGGUGAAAUGCGUAGAUAUGACAUAGAACACCCAUUGCGAAGGCAGCUCACUACGGAAAUAUUGACGCUGAGGCACGAAAGCGUGGGGAUCAAACAGGAUUAGAUACCCCAGUAGUC